GGGGGCGUGGCGAAAUUGGUAGACGCACUGGAUUUAGGUUCCAGCGCCGCAAGGUGUAAGAGUUCGAGUCUCUUCGCCCCCA
This is a transfer RNA of Acinetobacter gerneri, 82 nucleotides long. It matches the Rfam family "tRNA". From Rfam's summary of the family: Transfer RNA (tRNA) molecules are approximately 80 nucleotides in length. Their secondary structure includes four short double-helical elements and three loops (D, anti-codon, and T loops). Lineage: Bacteria; Pseudomonadati; Pseudomonadota; Gammaproteobacteria; Moraxellales; Moraxellaceae. The record is from Rfam.